CGCGGGACGUCCUGCCGGUGGGCGCGCGCCGCGACCCGCAAGGGUAGCGAACGCGCGUCCGACCAAUGCUCCCGCCGCGGUGCUCUUUACCGAGUGUCGCAGCGGGCCGGCACGUUUACUUUGAACAAAUUAGAGUGCUCAAAGCAGGCCAAAACCUCGCUCGAAUAUUGUGUGCAUGGAAUAAUGGAAUAGGACCUCGGUUCUAUUUUGUUGGUUUUCGGAACCCCGAGGUAAUGAUCAAUAGGAACGGAUGGGGGCAUUCGUAUUGCGACGUUAGAGGUGAAAUUCUUGGAUCGUCGCAAGACGGACAGAAGCGAAAGCAUUUGCCAAAAACGCUUUCAUUGAUCAAGAACGAAAGUUAGAGGUUCGAAGGCGAUCAGAUACCGCCCUAGUUCUAACCAUAAACGAUGCCAUUUGACGAUGCGCCGAAGUUCCUCCGAUGACUCGGCGGGCAGUCCCCGGGAAACCAAAACUUUUGGGUUCCGGGGGAAGUAUGGUUGCAAAGCUGAAACUUAAAGGAAUUGACGGAAGGGCACCACAAGGGGUGGAGCCUGCGGCUUAAUUUGACUCAACACGCGAAAGCUCACCAGGUCCGGACACCGGAAGGAUUGACAGAUUGAGAGCUCUUUCUUGAUUCGGUGGGUGGUGGUGCAUGGCCGUUCUUAGUUGGUGGAGCGAUCUGUCUGGUUAAUUCCGAUAACGAGCGAGACUCUAGCCUGCUAACUAGGCGUUCAGGACAUCCCGAAGGCCCGCGUCGGCCGUCGGGCUUCGUGCCCGGCGCGUCCGACGCGCGGUUUUUACUGUCCGCGUACACAAUUAUCUUCUUAGAGGUACAGGCGGCUCCUAGCCGCACGAAACAGAGCAAUAACAGGUCUGUGAUGCCCUUAGAUGUCCUGGGCCGCACGCGCGCUACACUGAAGGAAUCAGCGUGUCCUCCCUGGCCGAGAGGUCCGGGUAACCCGCUGAACCUCCUUCGUGAUAGGGAUCGGGGCUUGCAAUUGUUCCCCGCGAACGAGGAAUCCCUAGUAAGCGCGAGUCAUAAGCUCGCGUUGAUUAUGUCCCUGCCCUUUGUACACACCGCCCGUCGCUGCUACCGAUUGAAUGAUUUAGUGAGGUCUCCGGACCGGCACGCGGCGGCGCUUCGGCGUUGCCGACGUUCGCCGGAAAGAUGACCGAA
Molecule: ribosomal RNA, 1177 nt
Filed under: Cerylon canstaneum
Lineage: Eukaryota; Metazoa; Arthropoda; Insecta; Coleoptera; Cerylonidae
Description: SSU rRNA
Rfam family: Eukaryotic small subunit ribosomal RNA
Source: RNAcentral